Molecule: long non-coding RNA, 2034 nt
Filed under: Apis florea (little honeybee)
Lineage: Eukaryota; Metazoa; Arthropoda; Insecta; Hymenoptera; Apidae
Description: uncharacterized LOC105737233, transcript variant X2
Source: RNAcentral
CAUAAAAUAUCAUGCGAUUAAUUAACUUUGAAGUUUUUUCUCUUGGAUUUUUAUUACCAAAUAGCGCUUACAUCAUUUAUUCGGUUAAACUAGGUUCGUGGUUACAGUUGUCCAACGAGAAGAUUGGUGCACGGAUCGAAAUAAAAAGUUGCGCACGGUUCACGUGGACGUUAGAUACCUGUACACGCUACGCCGAUAAAUUGCUUCGAAUUAUCUGCACGCUCAUCACUAGCACUUCCUUUCUUCGUCGAGCAGCGACCGUCUGUAUAGUGCAUGCAGAUAAAUUCUAACGAUUAUAUGCAAUUUCUCUGCGACAUUAACGAACGUAGAAUCGGAAGUUCGAACGUACUAUAGUGCACUGUGAGAUAUUCAUCGAGAACUACUCUGCCUCGAACGAAACCGAUUUGCUGCUGCUUUCGAAGAAAAAAGAAAAAGAAUGAAAAAGAUCAGAAAGGAAGCAAUUCUCUUUUUUCCUUUCCUUCUCAAGUUUAUUGAUAUUUUCAACCAUUGGUUAUUGACGUUUCUAACCUAAAUUUUCAAUUUUAACGAUCUUAUAAAAUCUAUUAUAUAAUUUCUCUAUAAAAAUAAUGUAUCAAAUUAUAAAAAUCAAAGUUGACAAUUUAGUUAAUCUGAAAAUUCUUAGACGUUCUUAAUAGACAUCUUUAACAAUUAUGGAAUGUUGUAUGAAAGCAUAUCGAAAUCUUCAGAAAGAAUUCCAAUCGAUACGAAAAUCAAACCAAUAUUAAACCAAAUCGAAAUCGAGAGGUUUGCAAUUAAAACGCCAGAAUGAAAAUAUCGUUAAAAUAUAAUAUGCUUUUCACACGAGGAAGAAUAAGAGAAGUAAGAACUAGAAUCACGAAGGAAGAAACGUUGACAAGGGACGUGGUGGAAAGGUCAAUGACGUUCAUACUCGUGAUCGAUAAUAUAAUAAUUACGUUCUGAUCUAGAUUAUAUCCCUGAACAAUGCGGCGUAUUAUCUUUGAUGACGUUCUAAGCAACAAAACUAUCGUGUUCUCAUAUACGUGUUCAUCUAUAUUAUAGAAGAGGAAGAAAACAUCGUUAAAUUUCUAAUUUGAAUCAACGAACAGAAGAAUAUAAUUUUCCUACAAAUGAAAAAGGAUCGAAAUCCUCUCUAUGAAAGAGAUAGUAUAAUUAACGAAGACAAUGAAUUUCACGGAUCCCUCGAAUAAGCAAUUCAACCAGCGGACGGAAGUCUUGUUAAGAAUGCGUUAAACCCAACGUUAAACCGUAAAUACGAAUAAUUCAAGUUCCCAGCGUCAACUGCAGGCAAGUAAAGGUGAACAACAUCUUGAAGAGAGAGAAAGACAGUUAGUCACACAGAGAGCAUUAGGAACGAAUGUAAUUAUAGUUCAUAGAGGCGAAUUUUCGUGGUAGAAGUAAUUAGAUUGUAUUAAUAGCACAAACGUCUAAUUUGAAUCGAAACUUUCUUCUGUGCACACGCUUAAUGGCUUAAAAAUAUUUUUUUAGGAGUUUUGGAAUAUCGAUUUUCAAUUAAUAAAAUAUUAUUAAAGUGCGAUUAAAUUGUUGAAUAUUCAGAAUAUGAAGAUCUUUGUAAGAUUAUAAUUUUGCACUGGAAGAAUGUAUAAAUUUAUAUGUAUAAAUUUUUAUCAUAUCUCUAAUUGAAAGUGAUUAUACAUUAGCGAGAAUUCGAUAUAUUAUUUCUCUUCAUUCGACUGACAAUAUCUAAACAAGAAAGGUACCAAUUUUUCUUUUUUCGAAACCAUUAUACUGAAAGAAAAAUUGGAAAAAAAUGUAUAUCCUCUAUUCUGUUGUUCAAACAAAAAAUAUUCUGAUAAAAUGAAAGUACAUUGUUCACUGCAUUAACCUAAUUUGGAAAUAUUUUACCGCAACUUUGUAUCGGGAUUCCUGCAGCUUUGUAAUUUAAUUAAACGCGAAUACUUUUGAAAUGUAAUUACGAAUAACACUUGUAGAAAUCAUUCGACAAUAAACAAUAAACAUUUUAUUCAUUUUGUUUAUCGUCCGAUGAAUAUUUCAAAUAUUCGAAUAUUUAAA